UGCCAGCAGCCGCGGUAAUACGGAGGGUGCAAGCGUUGUCCGGAUUUAUUGGGUUUAAAGGGUACGUAGGCGGCCUAUUAAGUCAGUGGUGAAAGCCAGCAGCUUAACCAUAGAACUGGCUUUGAUACUGUUAAUCUUGAGUAUGGUAGAGAUAGGCGGAAUUUAUGAUGUAGCGGUGAAAUGCAUAGAUAUCAUAAAGAACACCGAUAGCGAAGGCAGCUUGUUGGACCAUAACUGACGCUAAUGUACGAAAGUGCGGGUAUCGAACAGGAUUAGAUA
Molecule: ribosomal RNA, 279 nt
Filed under: uncultured bacterium
Lineage: Bacteria
Description: partial 16S ribosomal RNA
Rfam family: Bacterial small subunit ribosomal RNA
Source: RNAcentral